Molecule: long non-coding RNA, 1167 nt
Filed under: Citrus x clementina
Lineage: Eukaryota; Viridiplantae; Streptophyta; Magnoliopsida; Sapindales; Rutaceae
Description: Citrus clementina (C. clementina) long non-coding RNA (CCLE_LNC005381)
Source: RNAcentral
UAAUUCAUUUAGGGGUAAAAUAGUUAUUUGAUUUAAAUUAUUUAACGGAUUCAAAUUUUAUUAGUAUAAAAGUGGUUGAUUGAUAUGAGUUUAGAACAAAUGUGGCGCAAAAAACAUAUCAACAUUUUGUGUACUUAAACAUACAUGUGAUAAAAGAGAGGUGGUGUAAAGAUAAUUUCUCAUUUAUAUUUCACGUAGGUAGAAGUUGGGUUACCAAUAUAUUGCUUAAAAAAUUAAAGAUACAUAAUGUUAAAUUUCUAAUUAAAAUUCAUUACAUUUAUAAAAUUAAAUUGUACUCAUAUUAAAUUCAUUAACUUAAAGUGAACCUUCAAAUUUAUUAUUUUAGUGAAUUUUAAAAUCAUUUUUUAUAAGUUUUGAGAAAUAUAAAAAUAAAUGAGGACUAUUUUAAACUAGGUUAAUAUAUUUAAAAUUUUGAUACAAACUUUUAGUCGUUGAUCACAUGACAAUCCAAUGGUAAGUAAAAUGGCAUCAUUAAAUUCUAUUUUGAUCUUAAAUCUUUAUUAUUAGAUUGCAUGAGAUUGAUAGGUGAAAUUUUGUAUCAAAAUAUGAACAAAAUAAUAAUAGUGUAAUCGAUAAUGUCGUUAAAUUCAAUUUUAAUUCAUUGUUUAUCAAGCAAAUAAAGAGGUAAUUCUUCUUCGUCUUUGUCAUUAGACUUUAUGCUUAUUUUGGAGGUAGUACGGGUCCAAAAUAUAUAUAUAUAUAUAAUAAUGCCAGUGGUCAAUGUUGUAUUAGACUGCCAAAUUUUGGAAUAAAAAUAAAAAAGAUGCCCCAUUUUCUAAUCGGAUAAUAACACGAGAGUCCCCAAUUGUUUGAUAAUUUAUAAAGUAAGUACAUGUCUUCCCCAUUUAUGUUAUGUAGGUCACUGGCCCACUAGCCCCAACAAGGCUGAAAAUGCUCGAGUGCUUAAAGGACCACCAAAGUAUUUCAUCGAAAAGCAUUUUCCUUGACGAUGAUCAAAUCACUUUUGAGUAGGGAUGGCAAUGGGAAAGGGAGGGAAGGGGAUCGAUUUCCUCAUAUUCAUUCCCGAUAUUUUGCGUAUGUCCUCAUCCUCUCUCCGUCCUCGUCAGAAUUACUUGAGAGAAUUUUCAUUCUCUCCCCGAAUAAUAACAGGGGAUCCCUGAAGGUCCCCGAUCCCUGAAUAACUAA